CCUACGGGGGGCUGCAGUAGGGAAUAUUGCUCAAUGGGGGAAACCCUGAAGCAGCAACGCCGCGUGGAGGAUGAAGGUUUUCGGAUUGUAAACUCCUUUUGUUAGAGAAGAUAAUGACGGUAUCUAACGAAUAAGCACCGGCUAACUCCGUGCCAGCAGCCGCGGUAAUACGGAGGGUGCAAGCGUUACUCGGAAUCACUGGGCGGAAAGAGCGCGUAGGGGGGAUAGCAAGUCAGAUGUGAAAUCCUAUGGCUUAACCAUAGAACUGCAUUUGAAACUGUUAUUCUAGAGUAUGGGAGAGGUAGGUGGAAUUCUUGGUGUAGGGGUAAAAUCCGUAGAGAUCAAGAGGAAUACUCAUUGCGAAGGCGACCUGCUAGAACAUAACUGACGCUGAUGCGCGAAAGCGUGGGGAGCAAACAGGAUUAGAUACCCUUGUAGUC
This 440-nucleotide ribosomal RNA is filed under the name uncultured bacterium. Its description in RNAcentral is "partial 16S ribosomal RNA". It matches the Rfam family "Bacterial small subunit ribosomal RNA", at positions 338 to 795 of the family's 1533-position model. The record is from RNAcentral.